This 324-nucleotide ribosomal RNA is filed under the name uncultured eukaryote. Its description in RNAcentral is "partial 18S ribosomal RNA". It matches the Rfam family "Eukaryotic small subunit ribosomal RNA", at positions 1470 to 1796 of the family's 1831-position model. The record is from RNAcentral.
CCCUUAGAUGUUCUGGGCUGCACGCGCGCUACACUGAUGCGUUCAACGAGUGUAUCACCUUGCCCGAUAGGGUUGGGUAAUCUUUUGAACACGCAUCGUGAUGGGGAUAGAUUAUUGCAAUUAUUAAUCUUCAACGAGGAAUUCCUAGUAAUGAUGAAUCAUCAGUUCAUCGUGAUUACGUCCCUGCCCUUUGUACACACCGCCCGUCGCUCCUACCGAUUGAGCAAUCCGGUGAAUACUUCGGACCGCGCGGUCUGCAGUUUCUGCGUUCCGUGCGGAAAGUUGCGCAAACCUUAACAUUUAGAGGAAGGAGAAGUCGUAACA